AUUGAACGCUGGCGGCAUGCUUUACACAUGCAAGUCGAACGGUAACAGGCCGCAAGGUGCUGACGAGUGGCGAACGGGCGAGUAAUGCAUCGGAACGUGCCCAGCCGUGGGGGAUAACUUCUCGAAAGAGUACCUAAUAUCGCAUACGAUCGAUGGAUGAAAGGGGGGGACCGUAAGGCAACGCGCGAUUGGAGCGGGUGAUGCUGGCGUAGGUAGUUGGUGGGGUUAAGGGUCACGCGGCCAACGAGCUGUAGCUGGUCUGAGAGGACAACCGGCCACACUAGGAGUUGGCCGGGGCCCAUGGGCCUGCGGGAGGGCGCAGUGGGGUAUUUUGGACAAUGGGCGCAAGCCUUAUCCAGCAAUGCCGCGUGCAGGAAGAAGGCCUUCGGGUUGUGAUCAGCUUUUGUACGGUACGAAACGGCUCUGGUUAAUACCCAGGGCUAAUGACGGUACUGUAAAAAUAAGCACCGGCUAACUACGUG
Molecule: ribosomal RNA, 482 nt
Filed under: uncultured bacterium
Lineage: Bacteria
Description: partial 16S ribosomal RNA
Rfam family: Bacterial small subunit ribosomal RNA
Source: RNAcentral